GACGAACGCUGGCGGCGUGCCUAAUACAUGCAAGUCGAACGCAGUGGGGACGGGUGAGUAACACGUGGGUAACCUCCCAUCAGAGGGGAUAACACUUGGAAACAGGUGCUAAACCGAUACUGAUGGAUGGACCCGCGGUGUAUUAGCGAGGUGGUGAGGUAACGGCUCACCAAGGCCACGAUGCAUAGCUGGCCGGAGAGGAUGAGCGGCCACACUGGAACUGAGACACGGCCCAGACUCCUACGGGAGGCAGCAGUAGGGAAUAUUGGACAAUGGACGAAAGUCUGACCGAGCAACGCCGCGUGAGUGAAGAAGGUUUUCGGAUCGUAAAACACUGUUAUUAGGGAAGCGGUAGCUAACCAGAAAGCCACGGCUAACUACGUGCCAGCAGCCGCGGUAAUAC
RNAcentral lists this ribosomal RNA (403 nucleotides) under uncultured bacterium. RNAcentral's name for it is "partial 16S ribosomal RNA". It matches the Rfam family "Bacterial small subunit ribosomal RNA", at positions 28 to 526 of the family's 1533-position model. The record is from RNAcentral.